RNAcentral lists this ribosomal RNA (490 nucleotides) under uncultured bacterium. Its description in RNAcentral is "partial 16S ribosomal RNA". It matches the Rfam family "Bacterial small subunit ribosomal RNA", at positions 29 to 507 of the family's 1533-position model. The record is from RNAcentral.
AUUGAACGCUGGCGGCAGGCCUAACACAUGCAAGUCGAACGGUAGCAGGAAGAUGCUUGCUUCUUUGCUGACGAGUGGCGGACGGGUGAGUAAUGUCUGGGAAACUGCCUGAUGGAGGGGGAUAACUACUGGAAACGGUAGCUAAUACCGCAUAACGUCGCAAGACCAAAGAGGGGGACCUUCGGGCCUCUUGCCAUCGGAUGUGCCCAGAUGGGAGUGGCUAGUAGGUGGGGUAACGGCUCACCUAGGCGACGGUCCCUAGCUGGUGCGAGGGGGUGACCAGCCACAGUGAGACUGAGCCACGGUCCUGAGUCCGAGGGAAGGCAGCGGUGGGGAAUAUUGGACGAUGGGCGCAAUCCUGAUGCAGCCAUGGCGCGUGGAUGAAGAAGGCCUUCGGGUUGUAAAGUACUUUCAGCGGGGAGGAAGGGAGUAAAGUUAAUACCUUUGCUGAUUGACGUUACCCGCAGAAGAAGCACCGGCUAACUCCGUG